Episyrphus balteatus (marmalade hoverfly) is the source of this 1019-nucleotide long non-coding RNA. RefSeq lists it as uncharacterized. The transcript has 3 exons. The record is from RefSeq and is a predicted model, not a curated record. Lineage: Eukaryota; Metazoa; Arthropoda; Insecta; Diptera; Syrphidae.
ACGUGAUUGGGCACAACACUGUGUGGCCAGGCACUAAGAAUUUAUUAUUUAAAACAAAAUUUAUAAAGUCUGUAUAGAUUUUGGAAAAAAAUCAUCAACCCGUUUUCAAGAAAAAAAAUCCAAAAUUAUUUUUUAAUACUCGUAUUAGAACUGAAAUCAGUUUAGUCUUUUAGGGAGAAUGAGAAAAUUAAAAAUCGUUGACAGGUACCGUUAAUAUUGGUCUAAGAUUUUUUUUUAAAUUUUAAAGUAGGAUAUUUUUUUCAAAAGUCGACAGAUUUUUGUUAUUGAAGUCGUUAGAGCCGUUUUUGAGAGAAACAAACUUUUCUACAUGGCAGAUACAGGUAAUUUUAAUUUUGCCUCUAAGGAAAAAACCCUGGAAAACUCAUAACUACAAAGUUUGAAGAAAACCACUUCAGUUGCCGAUGUAUUUUGAACGAAUGGUGGCGUUCACAACCCAGGAUUGACUUUGUGGCCUGACUUGACCCAAAAGCCUCUCCAGUCAGCUCGGUCUCUAGCUUACUGUCUCCAGUUGCGAGGUAGCAACCAUUUGAGAGCGCUACUUAAGAUGUGGUCUUCCUCUGCCACGUUGCCCAUCGGGGUUGGAUAGAAAAUUCGACGGGAUGCUUCCUGGCCACGUCUUUGUCGCUGUAAAGCUCGUUGUUGUAACUUUACCUUCGGCCAAACCCAUUUUUGACGCCUCUGUCUCAAUACCAGUAAACGCUUGCUUCGUUCUUCCGAUAAUGUCAAUAUGAUCCGCAUCGGAAUGUUGGGCAGAAGUACUUGAAGUACGAUGUUAAAGAGGUUGCAUUAUAGCUCAUCGCCUUGUCGUAAACCUUUUUUGACAUCAAAGGCAGCGAGAAUUCUCCAUGGGCUUCCUGCACAAGCGAACGAGUUUGGCAGAGAUGCCGAAACGUGGUUCUAUAUAGCACGUCUAAAUUUACUCUAUCAUAAGCGAUUUUAAAAUGGAUAGAAAUGGUGUAUCGAUUUGGUAUUCUUGAUUUUGAGAAGACUCUGAAUGA